This 513-nucleotide ribosomal RNA is filed under the name uncultured bacterium. RNAcentral's name for it is "bacterial SSU rRNA". It matches the Rfam family "Bacterial small subunit ribosomal RNA", at positions 28 to 531 of the family's 1533-position model. The record is from RNAcentral.
GACGAACGCUGGCGGCGUGGAUUAGGCAUGCAAGUCGAACGGUAUCAUCCUUUCGGGGGUGAGAGAGUGGCGAACUGGUGAGUAACACGUAGGUUAUCUACCCUCAAGACGGGGACAACCCAGGGAAACUUGGGCUAAUACCGGAUGUGAGCAACUUUUAGUUGUUUGAAAGGUGGCGUAAGCUGUCGCUUGGGGAUGAGCCUGCGUCCUAUUAGUUAGUUGGUGAGGUAACGGCUCACCUAGGCAAUGAUAGGUAGGCGGCCUUAACGGGUGGUCGCCCACACUGGGAUUGAGAUACGGCCCAGACUCCUACGGGAGGCAGCAGUCGAGAAUAGUCUACAAUGGCCGGAAGGCUGAUAGUGCGACGCCGCGUGAACGAGGGAGCCCGUUCGGGGUGUAAAGUUCUUUUCUAUACGAGCAGUGCUAUAUAUAUGGAUAGUAUAUAUAGAGGGAUAGUAGUAUAGGAAUAAGCAACGGCUAACUCCGUGCCAAGCAGCCGCGGUAAUAUCUACG